This 253-nucleotide ribosomal RNA is filed under the name uncultured bacterium. Its description in RNAcentral is "partial 16S ribosomal RNA". It matches the Rfam family "Bacterial small subunit ribosomal RNA", at positions 524 to 776 of the family's 1533-position model. The record is from RNAcentral.
UACGAAGGGGGCUAGCGUUGCUCGGAAUUACUGGGCGUAAAGGGAGCGUAGGCGGAUAGUUUAGUCAGAGGUGAAAUCCCGGGGCUCAACCUCGGAACUGCCUUUGAUACAGCAAGUCUUGAGUUCGAGAGAGGUGGGUGGAAUUCCUAGUGUAGAGGUGAAAUUCGUAGAUAUUAGGAAGAACACCGGUGGCGAAGGCGGCCCACUGGCUCGAUACUGACGCUGAGGUGCGAAAGCGUGGGGAGCAAACAGG